Pelobates cultripes (western spadefoot toad) is the source of this 275-nucleotide non-coding RNA. The record is from the annotation of a GenBank genome assembly. Lineage: Eukaryota; Metazoa; Chordata; Amphibia; Anura; Pelobatidae.
GAGUGUUUCAAUGUGUGGUGGAUGUAGUGUGUGUACUGUGAAUACAGGAUGUUUGUGUAGUGGCUGCUGUGUGUACAGUUAAUGCAGAGUGUAUGUUAGUGUAGUUAAUGCAGAGUGUGUGCCAGUGUAGUGAAUGUAGAGUGUGUUAGUGUGUAGUGAAUGCAGAGUGUGUGUUGCUGUGUAGUGAAUGCAGAGUGGGUGUUGUAUUAGUGUAUGCAGUGUGUGUCUGUUGUGUUAGUGUAUGCAGUGUGUGUGUGUGUAAAUGUGCAAUCUGG